RNAcentral lists this ribosomal RNA (463 nucleotides) under uncultured bacterium. RNAcentral describes it as "bacterial SSU rRNA". It matches the Rfam family "Bacterial small subunit ribosomal RNA", at positions 338 to 793 of the family's 1533-position model. The record is from RNAcentral.
CCUACGGGCCGCAGCAGUGGGGAAUAUUGCACAAUGGGCGCAAGCCUGAUGCAGCCAUGCCGCGUGUAUGAAGAAGGCCUUCGGGUUGUAAAAUACUUUCAGCGGGGAGGAAGGUGUUGUGGUUAAUAACCGCAGCAAUUGACGUUACCCGCAGAAGAAGCACCGGCUAACUCCGUGCCAGCAGCCGCGGUAAUACGGAGGGUGCAAGCGUUAAUCGGAAUUACAGGGCGUAAAGCGCACGCAGGCGGUCUGUCAAGUCGGAUGUGAAAUCCCCGGGCUCAACCUGGGAACUGCAUUCGAAACUGGCAGGCUAGAGUCUUGUAGAGGGGGGUAGAAUUCCAGGUGUAGCGGUGAAAUGCGUAGAGAUCUGGAGGAAUACCGGUGGCGAAGGCGGCCCCCUGGACAAAGACUGACGCUCAGGUGCGAAAGCGUGGGGAGCAAACAGGAUUAGAUACCCCAGUAG